UGGCGGACGGGUGAGUAAUGUCUGGGGAAACAGCCUGAUGGAGGGGGGUAACUACUGGAAACGGUAGCUAAUACCGCAUAACGUCGCAAGACCAAAGAGGGGGACCUUAGGGCCUCUUGCCAUCGGAUGUGCCCAGAUGGGAUUAGCUAGUAGGUGGGGUAAAGGCUCACCUAGGCGACGAUCCCUAGCUGGUCUGAGAGGAUGACCAGCCACACUGGAACUGAGACACGGUCCAG
RNAcentral lists this ribosomal RNA (236 nucleotides) under uncultured bacterium. RNAcentral's name for it is "partial 16S ribosomal RNA". It matches the Rfam family "Bacterial small subunit ribosomal RNA", at positions 96 to 334 of the family's 1533-position model. The record is from RNAcentral.